UGGGGAAUAUUGCACAAUGGGCGCAAGCCUGAUGCAGCCAUGCCGCGUGUAUGAAGAAGGCCUUCGGGUUGUAAAGUACUUUCAGCGAGGAGGAAGGCGGUAAGGUUAAUAACCUUAUCGAUUGACGUUACUCGCAGAAGAAGCACCGGCUAACUCCGUGCCAGCAGCCGCGGUAAUACGGAGGGUGCAAGCGUUAAUCGGAAUUACUGGGCGUAAAGCGCACGCAGGCGGUCUGUCAAGUCGGAUGUGAAAUCCCCGGGCUCAACCUGGGAACUGCAUUCGAAACUGGCAGGCUAGAGUCUUGUAGAGGGGGGUUGAAUUCCAGGUGUAGCGGUGAAAUGCGUAGAGAUCUGGAGGAAUACCGGUGGCGAAGGCGGCCCCCUGGACAAAGACUGACGCUCAGGUGCGAAAGCGUGGGGAGCAAACA
Molecule: ribosomal RNA, 427 nt
Filed under: uncultured bacterium
Lineage: Bacteria
Description: partial 16S ribosomal RNA
Rfam family: Bacterial small subunit ribosomal RNA
Source: RNAcentral